UGGGAUUAGAUACCCCACUAUGCCUAAUCGUAAAAUAUUAACUUACAACCACAAGCGCCUGGGAACUACGGGCUAAGCCUAAAACCCAAAGGACUUGACGGUGUCCCACCCUACUAGAGGAGCCUGUUCUAUAAUCGAUAACCCACGCUAAACCUAACCUCUUCUAGCUCAGUCUGUAUAUCGCCGUCGCAAAUCUGCCUUGUGAAUGCCAAAUAGCAUGUUCAAUGUCCCCCCGCCAAAACGUCAGGUCAAGGUGCAGCAUAUGAAGAGGGAAGAAUGGGCUACAAUUUCUAACUUAGAACAAACGGAUUACUUUAUGAAAUUAAAUUAUGAAGGAGGAUUUAGUAGUAAAGAGAA
This 357-nucleotide ribosomal RNA is filed under the name Minervarya kudremukhensis. RNAcentral describes it as "Fejervarya kudremukhensis partial 12S ribosomal RNA". It matches the Rfam family "Bacterial small subunit ribosomal RNA", at positions 773 to 1347 of the family's 1533-position model. The record is from RNAcentral. Lineage: Eukaryota; Metazoa; Chordata; Amphibia; Anura; Dicroglossidae.